UACGAAGGGGGCGAGCGUUGUUCGGAAUUACUGGGCGUAAAGGGCGCGUAGGCGGCGACUCUCGUCAGAUGUGAAAGUCCUGGGCUUAACCUGGGGACUGCAUUUGAUACUGGGUUGCUUGAAUUCGGGAGAGGAUAGCGGAAUUCCCAGUGUAGAGGUGAAAUUCGUAGAUAUUGGGAAGAACACCGGUGGCGAAGGCGGCUAUCUGGACCGACAUUGACGCUGAGGCGCGAAAGCUAGGGGAGCAAACGGG
This 253-nucleotide ribosomal RNA is filed under the name uncultured bacterium. RNAcentral describes it as "partial 16S ribosomal RNA". It matches the Rfam family "Bacterial small subunit ribosomal RNA", at positions 524 to 776 of the family's 1533-position model. The record is from RNAcentral.